RNAcentral lists this unclassified non-coding RNA (209 nucleotides) under Hevea brasiliensis (rubber tree). The record is from RNAcentral. Lineage: Eukaryota; Viridiplantae; Streptophyta; Magnoliopsida; Malpighiales; Euphorbiaceae.
AGCUCUUGAAGAAGGUGAAUUUUCAAUACCCACAUGCAUUUUUCCCCAUACACGUUUAUGUUUACAACCUCAUCAGGAUUUGUGUGCUUAAAUUCUGUACCUGUGUGGUUUUAUGCUUGCUGAGCAAUGCGGAACUGUAUUGUUAUUGUAUUGGAAAGUGGAAACUUCAUUAUCAGGAGUUAGCUAUCUUCGCAGGUUAUUAAAAAGCG